GGCCUUAUGGUCUAGUAGCAUGAUUCCUCCUUUGGGCUGUGUGGUGCACAUGGAGGAGGUCCUGGGUUCAAUUCCCAGUGAGGCCC
Non-coding RNA from Psilocybe cubensis, 86 nucleotides. NCBI's taxonomy places the organism in Eukaryota, Fungi, Basidiomycota, Agaricomycetes, Agaricales, Agrocybaceae. The record is from the annotation of a RefSeq genome assembly.